This 837-nucleotide long non-coding RNA is filed under the name Rattus norvegicus (Norway rat). Its description in RNAcentral is "long non-coding RNA NONRATT025117". The record is from RNAcentral. Lineage: Eukaryota; Metazoa; Chordata; Mammalia; Rodentia; Muridae.
CUCCGCAGGAGAUCUCCACACCACUCUUCACUGAGUAACCUGGUACCUGCCAGGCCCACAUCAGUCUCUGAUGUGGCUAAAGCCUGGUCCCUCUGAACUCAAGCUUCCCUGGAGCCCUGCCGCUCAGCCAGAUGGAGUUGGUCCCCACACUUUCCUACCUGCGUAGUGGUCAAACACAGUGGGCACGUAUUCCUCCGGGAAGGCGUCGUUGGCGUAGCUCAUCAGCAGGGCUGUUCCAGAUUGAACUGUCAUGCACACCAUGACUGAUCAACAUGGCAGGUGAUGAAACGAACAAGGAGAAAAGCUCUGACUCUACGUUUUCUUUAGGAAGUGAACCUCUGCGCACACUCACUGGUCAGAACAAGUUACAUGCUCAUAUGGGCUCAACAGAAGGGUCAGAAGUAUCAUCCUACCCACACGCUGAACAGCCUGAAUGACAGACAGGGAUUGAUUUUUUGGCUGUACUUGGAAUGUGAAUGGUUCAUAUGAGGCCAUGGCGUGAAGCAUUUGAAGGCCCCCAUGGCUGCCUGUAGUGGAUGCAAUCUUAUUUCCAGUUAGUCUUUCUGGGGAACCCAGGGUAUGUAGAAUAAAAUUGUAAUUUAGAAACUUCUGUUAUACUUCUGCAUAAAAGACUUCGAGGAUGAAGAAGUAGCCAAACAAACCCGUGCAGGUUAAAAGGUGAUUGAUUGUCUGGAAGUGAACAGGAUCACCCAAGCACAAUGUGACUGAUGAUAGGUGGUUGGCAGAGCUGUGAGCAGGGUCUUCCUUGACCUUCAGGCUGAGAUUGGUCGAGUCUGCAUCUGCACACUAUAGAUAUUGAGCCUACAUAGAGGCUUU